UACGUAGGGUGCAAGCGUUGUCCGGAAUUAUUGGGCGUAAAGAGCUCGUAGGCGGUUUGUCGCGUCGAAUGUGAAAACCCGGGGCUCAACCCCGGGCCUGCAUUCGAUACGGGCAGACUAGAGUUCGGUAGGGGAGUCUGGAAUUCCUGGUGUAGCGGUGAAAUGCGCAGAUAUCAGGAGGAACACCGGUGGCGAAGGCGGAUCUCUGGGCCAUUACUGACGCUGAGGAGCGAAAGCGUGGGGAGCGAACAGG
RNAcentral lists this ribosomal RNA (253 nucleotides) under uncultured bacterium. RNAcentral describes it as "partial 16S ribosomal RNA". It matches the Rfam family "Bacterial small subunit ribosomal RNA", at positions 524 to 776 of the family's 1533-position model. The record is from RNAcentral.